UGGGGAAUAUUGCACAAUGGGCGAAAGCCUGAUGCAGCGACGCCGCGUGAGGGAUGACGGCCUUCGGGUUGUAAACCUCUUUCAGCAGGGAAGAAGCGAAAGUGACGGUACCUGCAGAAGAAGCGCCGGCUAACUACGCGCCAGCAGCCGCGGUAAUACGUAGGGCGCAAGCGUUGUCCGGAAUUAUUGGGCGUAAAGAGCUCGUAGGCGGUUAGUCGCGUCUGCUGUGAAAACUCGAGGCUCAACCUCGGGCUUGCAGUGGGUACGGGCUGACUAGAGCGCGGUAGGGGUGACUGGAAUUCCUGGUGUAGCGGUGGAAUGCGCAGAUAUCAGGAGGAACACCGAUGGCGAAGGCAGGUCACUGGGCCGCAACUGACGCUGAGGAGCGAAAGCAUGGGGAGCGAACAGGAUUAGAUACCCUGGUAGUCCAUGCCGUAAAACGUUGGGCACUAGGGUGUGGGGGUCCUAUUCCAGCGGAUUCCCGUGCCGCAGCAAACGCAUUAAGUGCCCCGCCUGGGGAGUACGGCCGCAAGGCUAAAACUCAAAGGAAUUGACGGGGUCAUAGCUGUUU
This 571-nucleotide ribosomal RNA is filed under the name uncultured bacterium. Its description in RNAcentral is "partial 16S ribosomal RNA". It matches the Rfam family "Bacterial small subunit ribosomal RNA", at positions 355 to 935 of the family's 1533-position model. The record is from RNAcentral.